Molecule: ribosomal RNA, 305 nt
Filed under: uncultured bacterium
Lineage: Bacteria
Description: partial 16S ribosomal RNA
Rfam family: Bacterial small subunit ribosomal RNA
Source: RNAcentral
ACAGCAGUCGCCGCGGUAAUACAGAGGGUGCGAGCGUUAAUCGGAUUUACUGGGCGUAAAGCGCGCGUAGGUGGUUUGUUAAGUUGGAUGUGAAAUCCCCGGGCUCAACCUGGGAACUGCAUCCAAAACUGGCAAGCUAGAGUAUGGUAGAGGGUGGUGGAAUUUCCUGUGUAGCGGUGAAAUGCGUAGAUAUAGGAAGGAACACCAGUGGCGAAGGCGACCACCUGGACUGAUACUGACACUGAGGUGCGAAAGCGUGGGGAGCAAACAGGAUUAGAUACCCGGGUAGUCCCUGUCUCUUAUAA